Molecule: long non-coding RNA, 210 nt
Filed under: Elaeis guineensis (African oil palm)
Lineage: Eukaryota; Viridiplantae; Streptophyta; Magnoliopsida; Arecales; Arecaceae
Description: long non-coding RNA (EGUI_LNC079279)
Source: RNAcentral
CUUUGGACUAGCUUUUUGGUGUUCCAUUUCACUGCAAGUAAAUGGACAUUGUAUAUUAUUAUUUAUUUAUUUUAUUAUUAUUUUAUAUAUAAAUAAUAGUUAUAAUUAAUUCAUCAUUAAUUAACAUAAUUUUUGUAAAAUGUAUAUGUUAGUUACGAGGGUAAGGGUGGCAAUUGGAUUAAGUUGGAUCGAAUACAGGCAGGACCAAUG